This is a long non-coding RNA of Carya illinoinensis, 772 nucleotides long. RefSeq lists it as uncharacterized. The record is from RefSeq and is a predicted model, not a curated record. Lineage: Eukaryota; Viridiplantae; Streptophyta; Magnoliopsida; Fagales; Juglandaceae. The transcript is spliced from 3 exons.
UUUUUGUAAGGCAUGUAUAAACAAAAUGCCACUGUGUAAUACUCGGCCUAGGCCAAAAUCAGAAGUGGUCCAGCCCUUGAAGGCUAUAUGACUUCGUGUAGGUAAGUGUUUUGUUUUCCCCUUUCAAUUUUAGUUUUCUCCCUACCCCAUUUCUUUCUUCCUCCUCUCGAGUUUCUCUCCUCAAUAACUUUCUUUCACCUUUAUGUUUUAGCAGUUACCUCUUCUCAAAACUUUUUUGGUGUUAACUUCCUUUUUGUUUAUCUCACCUGUAGCAAACCCUUGACUUCUCUUAGAUGAAAUUCUAGAUAUUUAUGCCCCUCUACACCGUGCACCUCUUCUAUUUCGGGCCUUGCAAAUUAAUCUCUUCCCUCUAUGCCAUACGACAUCCUCAUUGUUGCAAAUAUUCUCGUUGCCAUUAUUUUCUCCUGUUUUCUCUAGUGAACCAAGAUGACUUUGAAGAUACAGCUAAAGAUCAAUAAUAGAGUAUGUGGCAAGAAUAAUUGACAGUGAUUGUUGAAUACCUGGGAGUACUAGUGCUGUUGGACGAUCUAAUUAUUAAGUAAUUUGAUUUUAAUAUAUUUAGAUUAUUACGAAGACUUGAAUAUUAUUUCAGUUCGUUAUGUUAAUAGAGACGUGGAGAAAUUAAUUUAUUUUAUUUAGAUUAUUGUAUUAAGGAAUUGAUGAAUUGAUAUGUGCAAUUAAUUAUAUCAGAGGAAUUUAUGUUUGAUUUUGGAGUUUUUGCAAAUAUAUUUUAGAUAUGAAAGAUACGAUA